CAUUUUUACACAAGUGAACAUAUAUAUAUAACAAAUCCUACACGUUGAUUGGUCAAAUUUGACGUAAUAAGCUGUUAUAUUUACCUACAGGUGAAUAUAACAAAACAGAAAUUUUCAAAAUGGCGGCUAACCGUUUUGUGGAAGUUUACUGACAAAGAAAUAAGCAAAAUUAAAAUAAAGUCAGUCUCAAAAAACAAAAAAGCUUGUGUAAAAAUACUAAAACAAUUAUUCGCCUCAUGCAUGCUCGGUGAUUAUCUUAAGAUACUGUUUGAUAUCCUAAGAUAUUGU
Non-coding RNA from Paramuricea clavata, 288 nucleotides. NCBI's taxonomy places the organism in Eukaryota, Metazoa, Cnidaria, Anthozoa, Malacalcyonacea, Plexauridae. The record is from the annotation of a GenBank genome assembly.